GACAGAGGAUGCGAACGUUGCUCGGAUUUACUGGGCGUAAAGCGCGUGUAGGCGGUCUCGUUAGUCGGGUGUGAAAGCCCUGGGCUCAGCCCAGGAAGUGCACCCGAUACUGCAAGACUGGGGUACUGAAGAGGAGAGCGGAAUUCCCGGUGUAGAGGUGAAAUUCGUAGAUAUCGGGAGGAACACCAGUGGCGAAGGCGGCUAUCUGGACCGGUACUGACGCUGAGGUGCGAAAGCGUGGGGAGCAAACAGG
Molecule: ribosomal RNA, 253 nt
Filed under: uncultured bacterium
Lineage: Bacteria
Description: partial 16S ribosomal RNA
Rfam family: Bacterial small subunit ribosomal RNA
Source: RNAcentral